This 105-nucleotide non-coding RNA is filed under the name Pelosinus sp. UFO1. Its description in RNAcentral is "SAM riboswitch aptamer (S box leader)". It matches the Rfam family "SAM riboswitch aptamer (S box leader)". Rfam says of the family: The SAM riboswitch is found upstream of a number of genes which code for proteins involved in methionine or cysteine biosynthesis in Gram-positive bacteria. The SAM riboswitch acts at the level of transcription termination control. The predicted structure consists of a complex stem-loop region followed by a single stem loop terminator region. RNAcentral also lists the same sequence under 1 other name. Lineage: Bacteria; Bacillati; Bacillota; Negativicutes; Selenomonadales; Sporomusaceae. The record is from Rfam by way of RNAcentral.
UAUUCAUCAAGAGUUAGCUGAGGGAUUGGCCCGAUGAAGCUACGGCAACCACCGCAUACUGCGAACGGUGCCAAUUCCAACAGGAGUAUUCCUGGGAGAUGAAGA